This 492-nucleotide ribosomal RNA is filed under the name uncultured bacterium. Its description in RNAcentral is "partial 16S ribosomal RNA". It matches the Rfam family "Bacterial small subunit ribosomal RNA", at positions 29 to 507 of the family's 1533-position model. The record is from RNAcentral.
AGUGAACGCUGGCGGUAGGCCUAACACAUGCAAGUCGAACGGCGGCACAGUAAGAGCUUGCUCUUACGGGUGGCGAGUGGCGGACGGGUGAGGAAUACAUCGGAAUCUACUUUUUCGUGGGGGAUAACGUAGGGAAACUUACGCUAAUACCGCAUACGACCUACGGGUGAAAGCAGGGGAUCUUCGGACCUUGCGCGAUUGAAUGAGCCGAUGUCGGAUUAGCUAGUUGGCGGGGUAAAAGCCCACCAAGGCGACGAUCCGUAGCUGGUCUGAGAGGAUGAUCAGCCACACUGGAACUGAGACACGGUCCAGACUCCUACGGGAGGCAGCAGUGGGGAAUAUUGGACAAUGGGCGCAAGCCUGAUCCAGCCAUACCGCGUGGGUGAAGAAGGCCUUCGGGUUGUAAAGCCCUUUUGUUGGGAAAGAAAAGCAGCAGGUUAAUACCCCGCUGUUCUGACGGUACCCAAAGAAUAAGCACCGGCUAACUUCGUG